This 270-nucleotide long non-coding RNA is filed under the name Elaeis guineensis (African oil palm). Its description in RNAcentral is "long non-coding RNA (EGUI_LNC063589)". Lineage: Eukaryota; Viridiplantae; Streptophyta; Magnoliopsida; Arecales; Arecaceae. The record is from RNAcentral.
GACACAUAAAUAUGGAUCUCAAUGAGACUUGUAGUGGAUGUUGGUGAUAGUUGAUCCACUGUAGGAGUAGAGUACGCAUCAAGAUGGGAUCUAUCAACCUUAAUAGAGAGGAGUAGUCCUAUAAAAUUUGAGAGGCUAAGUCUGAAAGUCUGUGGCCACAGCAGUGUAAUUGAUAGAAAAAAGUUUUCAUAGAAAUCAUAAUUGAACUUGAGCUGAUCGAAUCUUCAUAUGACUGAUGUUGAGGUUUGAUGAUUUAUCCAUGACCUGCCA